Molecule: microRNA precursor, 166 nt
Filed under: Oryza punctata
Lineage: Eukaryota; Viridiplantae; Streptophyta; Magnoliopsida; Poales; Poaceae
Description: pre miRNA MIR807
Source: RNAcentral
AUCUACUCCAUCUAUCCAAAAAAAAAUAAUAUAGGAGGGGAUGUGAUCCCUCCUAGUACAACGAUAGAACGAAUCUGUAUAAUGAAUCUGGACUGUCCAGAUUCAUCAUUCUAGGAGGGAUCACAUCCUCUCCUAUGUUGUUUUUUUUUGGAUGGAUGGUGUACAU